Molecule: ribosomal RNA, 879 nt
Filed under: uncultured bacterium
Lineage: Bacteria
Description: bacterial SSU rRNA
Rfam family: Bacterial small subunit ribosomal RNA
Source: RNAcentral
CAGUCGAACGAGUUCUCGUUGAUGAUCGGUGCUUGCACCGAGAUUCAACAUGGAACGAGUGGCGGACGGGUGAGUAACACGUGGGUAACCUGCCCUUAAGUGGGGGAUAACAUUUGGAAACAGAUGCUAAUACCGCAUAGAUCCAAGAACCGCAUGGUUCUUGGCUGAAAGAUGGCGUAAGCUAUCGCUUUUGGAUGGACCCGCGGCGUAUUAGCUAGUUGGUGAGGCAAUGGCUCACCAAGGCGAUGAUACGUAGCCGAACUGAGAGGUUGAUCGGCCACAUUGGGACUGAGACACGGCCCAAACUCCUACGGGAGGCAGCAGUAGGGAAUCUUCCACAAUGGACGCAAGUCUGAUGGAGCAACGCCGCGUGAGUGAAGAAGGCUUUCGGGUCGUAAAACUCUGUUGUUGGAGAAGAAUGGUCGGCAGAGUAACUGUUGCCGGCGUGACGGUAUCCAACCAGAAAGCCACGGCUAACUACGUGCCAGCAGCCGCGGUAAUACGUAGGUGGCAAGCGUUAUCCGGAUUUAUUGGGCGUAAAGCGAGCGCAGGCGGUUUUUUAAGUCUGAUGUGAAAGCCCUCGGCUUAACCGAGGAAGCGCAUCGGAAACUGGGAAACUUGAGUGCAGAAGAGGACAGUGGAACUCCAUGUGUAGCGGUGAAAUGCGUAGAUAUAUGGAAGAACACCAGUGGCGAAGGCGGCUGUCUGGUCUGUAACUGACGCUGAGGCUCGAAAGCAUGGGUAGCGAACAGGAUUAGAUACCCUGGUAGUCCAUGCCGUANACGAUGAAUGCUAGGUGUUGGAGGGUUUCCGCCCUUCAGUGCCGCAGCUAACGCAUUAAGCAUUCCGCCUGGGGAGUACGACCGCAAGGUUGAAACU